This 468-nucleotide ribosomal RNA is filed under the name Polydora websteri. RNAcentral describes it as "partial large subunit ribosomal RNA". It matches the Rfam family "Bacterial large subunit ribosomal RNA", at positions 1828 to 2597 of the family's 2925-position model. Lineage: Eukaryota; Metazoa; Annelida; Polychaeta; Spionida; Spionidae. The record is from RNAcentral.
CGCCUCCAGAAUUACUUAUUGGAGGUCCAUUCUGCCCUAUGCCCUACGGGGUAAAUGGCCGCGGUAGCCUGACCGUGCUAAGGUAGCAUAAUCAUUUGCCGUUUAAUUGAUGGCUAGAAUGAAUGAAUAUACGAGAGCUAGACUGUCUCAUUUUUACAAAUAAAAAUUGACCCUCAAGUGAAGAGACUUGAAUUAAAAAAAAAGACGAAAAGACCCUAUAGAGCUUUACCUAAAAUUUAAAUUCUUUAGAAUAAAGGUUUAGUUGGGGCAACUAGAGAGAAUCUAAAACCUCUCUUUAUUUAUUAGAUCCGCUAUCGCGAGAAGUAGAAAAAGCUACCUUAGGGAUAACAGGCUAAUCCUCUUUAAGAGACCAUAUUGACAAGAGGGAUUGGCACCUCGAUGUUGGCUCAAGGUUACAGUUUGAUGCAGCAGUCAAACAAAGUAGGUUUGUUCACCCUUUAAAUCCUU